UUUUUUUUUUUAAAUACAAACAAGUUUGGCCCGCAGCGGACAAAAAGUUUUUGUAUCGAAGUACUCAUAAAUACACUUCACUCAAGACGGGUCACUAAAUCGCAAAUUGCCGGCGCCUUAAAAUUGGCACGUUUCCAUCGUAUUAUUAAACAAAAAAUUAACUUCCGAUCUUACUUACUUAUAUGCGUUAAUAUAGACAGAGACUAUAUAUUCAUAUUUAACCGAAAAUCCACGUCUCUGGAUUUAAAAUUAUUUUCUGUUUUUCUGGGAUAACUCGAAAUAAGACAAACUCCCAAAUAAAUUACUUAAAUAAUAAGUGAAUGUUCUUAAACCAACCCCGCAGGUUCCUUAUAUAAAUAGAAGGAAAUUAAAUUUCUUUAAAUAAGAAAAAUUACUAGUUGAUCCCACUAUAUAUCUUUAUCAAUGGUAUCCCUAUUGUCCGAUUAAAAAAAUCUCUCAAGUUUAAUUAUUUUUUCCAAUCAUGGAGCUACAACCGAAUUUUAUAGGAUUCCCACGUCUUCAAGAACUCCCAACCAAACAAGUUGGUAAUUUUAAAAUGCACUAGACUCAAGUCUGGCCUGCGNAGGACAUAUUUUUU
Molecule: ribosomal RNA, 598 nt
Filed under: Galapagomystides aristata
Lineage: Eukaryota; Metazoa; Annelida; Polychaeta; Phyllodocida; Phyllodocidae
Description: partial large subunit ribosomal RNA
Source: RNAcentral